Molecule: non-coding RNA, 28 nt
Filed under: Homo sapiens (human)
Lineage: Eukaryota; Metazoa; Chordata; Mammalia; Primates; Hominidae
Source: RNAcentral
UGGGAAUGAAAUGCCUUGGAGGUCCUGA